RNAcentral lists this ribosomal RNA (253 nucleotides) under uncultured bacterium. Its description in RNAcentral is "partial 16S ribosomal RNA". It matches the Rfam family "Bacterial small subunit ribosomal RNA", at positions 524 to 776 of the family's 1533-position model. The record is from RNAcentral.
UACGGGGGGGGCAAGCGUUGUUCGGAAUUACUGGGCGUAAAGGGCGCGUAGGCGGCCUUCUAAGUCGGACGUGAAAUCCCUCGGCUCAACCGAGGAACUGCGUCUGAUACUGGAAGGCUUGAAUCCGGGAGAGGGAUGUGGAAUUCCAGGUGUAGCGGUGAAAUGCGUAGAUAUCUGGAGGAACACCGGUGGCGAAGGCGGCAUCCUGGACCAUUACUGACACUGAAAAGCGAAAGCCAGGGGAGCAAACGGG